AAGCAUAUCAAUAAGCGGAGGAAAAGAAACCAACAGGGAUUGCCCUAGUAACGGCGAGUGAAGCGGCAACAGCUCAAAUUUGAAAUCUGGCUCUCGGGCCCGAGUUGUAAUUUGUAGAGGAUGCUUUUGAUGCGGUGCCUUCCGAGUUCCCUGGAACGGGACGCCAUAGAGGGUGAGAGCCCCGUCUGGUUGGAUGCCAAAUCUCUGUAAAGCUCCUUCGACGAGUCGAGUAGUUUGGGAAUGCUGCUCUAAAUGGGAGGUAUAUGUCUUCUAAAGCUAAAUACCGGCCAGAGACCGAUAGCGCACAAGUAGAGUGAUCGAAAGAUGAAAAGCACUUUGAAAAGAGAGUUAAAAAGUACGUGAAAUUGUUGAAAGGGAAGCGUUUAUGACCAGACUUGGGCUUGGUUAAUCAUCUGGGGUUCUCCCCAGUGCACUUUUCCAGUCCAGGCCAGCAUCAGUUUUCGCCGGGGGAUAAAGGCUUCGGGAAUGUGGCUCUCUCCGGGGAGUGUUAUAGCCCGUUGCGUAAUACCCUGGCGGGGACUGAGGUUCGCGCAUCUGCAAGGAUGCUGGCGUAAUGGUCAUCAACGACCCGUCUUGAAC
This 600-nucleotide ribosomal RNA is filed under the name Fusarium equiseti. Its description in RNAcentral is "LSU rRNA". It matches the Rfam family "Eukaryotic large subunit ribosomal RNA", at positions 36 to 659 of the family's 3401-position model. Lineage: Eukaryota; Fungi; Ascomycota; Sordariomycetes; Hypocreales; Nectriaceae. The record is from RNAcentral.